This 253-nucleotide ribosomal RNA is filed under the name uncultured bacterium. RNAcentral's name for it is "partial 16S ribosomal RNA". It matches the Rfam family "Bacterial small subunit ribosomal RNA", at positions 524 to 776 of the family's 1533-position model. The record is from RNAcentral.
GACGUAGGGCGCGAGCGUUGUCCGGAUUUAUUGGGCGUAAAGAGCUCGUAGGCGGCUUGUCGCGUCGACUGUGAAAUCCCGCGGCUCAACUGCGGGUCUGCAGUCGAUACGGGCAGGCUAGAGUUCGGUAGGGGAGAUCGGAAUUCCUGGUGUAGCGGUGAAAUGCGCAGAUAUCAGGAGGAACACCGGUGGCGAAGGCGGAUCUCUGGGCCGAUACUGACGCUGAGGAGCGAAAGCGUGGGGAGCGAACAGG